AGUCAACCUAACUCGUGGAUGUGGAUAACCUCGGGAAACUGAGAAUAAACCACGAUAGAUCAUAGUGCCUGGAAUGGCUUAUGGUCCAAACAGUUUACUGCCAUGGGAUGGGACUGCGGCCUAUCAGCUUGUUGGUGAGGUAAUGGCCCACCAAGGCGAUUACAGGUACGGGCUCUGAGAGGAGAAGCCCGGAGAUGGGUACUGAGACACGGACCCAGGCCCUAUGGGGCGCAGCAGGCGAGAAACCUUAGCAAUGUGCGAAAGCACGACUGGGUCAGUCCGAGUGAUUCCUGAUAAAGGAGUCUUUUGCUUGUCCUAAAAGCACAGGUGAAUAAGGGGUGGGCAAGUCUGGUGUCAGCCGCCGCGGUAAUACCAGCACCUCGAGUGGUCAGGACGUUUAUUGGGCCUAAAGCAUCCGUAGCCGGCUUUGCAAGUCUUCGGUUAAAUCCACCUGCUCAACAGAUGGGCCGCUGGAGAUACUACAGAGCUAGGGAGUGGGAGAGGCAGACGGUAUUCAGUGGGUAGGGGUAAAAUCCUCUGAUCCAUUGAGGACCACCAGUGGCGAAGGCGGUCUGCCAGAACACGUUCGACGGUGAGGGAUGAAAGCUGGGGGAGCAAACCGGAUUAGAUACCCGGGUAGUCCCAGCUGUAAACGAUGCAAACUCGGUGAUGCAUUGGC
This 679-nucleotide ribosomal RNA is filed under the name uncultured crenarchaeote. RNAcentral describes it as "bacterial SSU rRNA". It matches the Rfam family "Archaeal small subunit ribosomal RNA", at positions 102 to 783 of the family's 1478-position model. Lineage: Archaea; Thermoproteati; Thermoproteota. The record is from RNAcentral.